Molecule: non-coding RNA, 242 nt
Organism: Pelobates cultripes (western spadefoot toad)
Lineage: Eukaryota; Metazoa; Chordata; Amphibia; Anura; Pelobatidae
Source: the annotation of a GenBank genome assembly
AAAGGACACUAUAGUCACCAGAACUACAGCUUAUUGUAGUUGUUCUGGUGUAUAGAGCCUGUCCCUGCUACUUUUUGGUGUCAACAUUACCUUUUCAGAGAACAGGCAGUGUUUUCAUUACAGCCUAGGAAUACCUCUAGUGUUUACUCCUCAAACAGCCACCAGAGGUGCUUCCUGGGUCACACUGUGCAGCACUGACUUUCAGUGUCUUUACGCUCUGCAUGAAGAUGCUGAACUUUCCC